AUAUCAAUAAGCGGAGGAAAAGAAACCAACAGGGAUUGCCCUAGUAACGGCGAGUGAAGCGGCAACAGCUCAAAUUUGAAAUCUGGCCCCAGGCCCGAGUUGUAAUUUGCAGAGGAUGCUUUUGGCAAAGCGCUUACCGAGUCCCCUGGAACGGGGCGCCACAGAGGGUGAGAGCCCCGUAUGGUAGGACGCCGAGCCUCUGUAAAGCUCCUUCGACGAGUCGAGUAGUUUGGGAAUGCUGCUCUAAAUGGGAGGUAAAUUUCUUCUAAAGCUAAAUACCGGCCAGAGACCGAUAGCGCACAAGUAGAGUGAUCGAAAGAUGAAAAGCACUUUGAAAAGAGGGUUAAAUAGCACGUGAAAUUGUUGAAAGGGAAGCGCUCGUGACCAGACUUGCGCCGGGCGGAUCAUCCAGCGUUCUCGCUGGUGCACUCCGCCCGGCUCAGGCCAGCAUCGGUUUUCGCCGGGGGACAAAAGCUUCGGGAACGUGGCUCCCUUCGGGGAGUGUUAUAGCCCGUUGCUUAAUACCCCGGCGGGGACCGAGGACCGCGCUUCGGCAAGGAUGCUGGCGUAAUGGUCAUCAGCGACCCGUCUUGAAACACGGACCGAGGAGUCAAGCAUUAGUGCGAGUGUUUGGGUGUAAAACCCGCACGCGUAAUGAAAGUGAACGUAGGUGAGAGCUUCGGCGCAUCAUCGACCGAUCCUGAUGUUUUCGGAUGGAUUUGAGUAGGAGCAUUAACGCUUGGACCCGAAAGAUGGUGAACUAUACUUGAAUAGGGUGAAGCCAGAGGAAACUCUGGUGGAGGCUCGCAGCGGUUCUGACGUGCAAAUCGAUCGUCAAAUUUG
RNAcentral lists this ribosomal RNA (843 nucleotides) under Gaeumannomyces avenae. RNAcentral's name for it is "eukaryotic LSU rRNA". It matches the Rfam family "Eukaryotic large subunit ribosomal RNA", at positions 40 to 913 of the family's 3401-position model. Lineage: Eukaryota; Fungi; Ascomycota; Sordariomycetes; Magnaporthales; Magnaporthaceae. The record is from RNAcentral.